RNAcentral lists this ribosomal RNA (300 nucleotides) under uncultured Bacillus sp. Its description in RNAcentral is "bacterial SSU rRNA". It matches the Rfam family "Bacterial small subunit ribosomal RNA", at positions 495 to 795 of the family's 1533-position model. Lineage: Bacteria; Bacillati; Bacillota; Bacilli; Caryophanales; Bacillaceae. The record is from RNAcentral.
GGUUAACGUCGGGCCAGGGGGCGGUGGAAUACGAAGGGGGCGAGCGGUGGUCGGAUGUACGUGGCGGAAAGCGCACGUAGGCGGAGCGUUAAGUCGGGGGUGAAAUCCGGGAGCUCAACUCCAGAACUGCCUUCGAUACUGGCGAUCUUGAGUCCGGUAGAGGUGAGUGGAACUCCUAGUGUAGAGGUGGAAUUCGUAGAUAUUAGGAAGAACACCAGUGGCGAAGGCGGCUCACUGGUCCGGUACUGACGCUGAGGUGCGAAAGCGUGGGGAGCAAACAGGAUUAGAUACCGAGUAGUC